RNAcentral lists this long non-coding RNA (5489 nucleotides) under Homo sapiens (human). RNAcentral describes it as "HSALNT0289724". Lineage: Eukaryota; Metazoa; Chordata; Mammalia; Primates; Hominidae. The record is from RNAcentral.
GGAGAGGCGCGCACGAGCGGACCCCGACACGCAGGGACACGCAGCACCAGCCGAGAUACGACCGAGGCACGCACGCGCAGGCACGCACACACACACACUCCAGUCUCCCUCUCCCGGCCGAGGCUGUGCGGCCCACGCUCUCCACCCCUCUCCGACCCCCAGCCGCGGGAGCCGAGCAGGGAGGCAGGUGAGACACCGCGGGGCCGUGCGGACGGCCAGCACUCGACUUUGCCUAAAAAAGGAAGCAGCAGGCUGAGGCUGAGGAGCUGGCGGCAGGAACAAGGGAGAGCUGUGUCCCCGCCGGCGCCCCCCACCCCCCCUGCCGGGGAUCUUGGCAGUGGAGGUGCUGGCUGCGCUCCACAGACCUCAGACCUCGGCUGGGACCAGAAAUGCCUGGUGCUUCCGCCUGGGCCCGGUGGGGGGACUUUGGGUCCCCAGAGUGCAAGCUGUACCACUUCGAGGGGCCUCGCCAGGCCCCCCAGCCCCCAGUACACAGGGGCUGCCGUGGAGAUGACGCUGAAGGCCGCAGCCGCUGGAGGACCUGGGGUCUGACCGGAAGCUGGCUGCAGACCCUGCGGAGGCACGUCCAGGUAGUCAGGCAGGGAGCUGGGCCGAGGGUCCCCCACCCUGGGGAGGCUCACAGCCAGUGGCCCGCUUGUCCCCCACCCUCGCCCAGCAGGCGGGCCACAGUCACACCUCAGCCAGCCUUGCAGGGCUGACGGGGAAGUUUCCCUCACUUCUGGAAAAAGUGAGCGGGUCUUCUUGGCUGUGACUCAGGCCCUCAAGGAAGCGGCCGCCCUCCUCCCUUCAGCUCGCCAUCAGCGGGAGAAGGCACAGGAGGCCUGGCCUCCACCCAGCCUGGGCCGAGCUCAGCCACCUGCCUUGCUCCCGGCUCUGCCUGGAGUCCCUCCAGCUAGGAGACCCUCCCCAUCAGCUCUCCCCGUGCCCCUCAGUCUUCAGGACUCAUUCUUGUGUCCUGCCCUCCCCCCGCUGUCUCCACCCCGGAGGAGGGACGUGGACAGAGGGUCCCAGAGAGCAUGGGGUCAGCCAGAGGUGCAGUGUCAGGGCCCGGGCCGGACUUGAGGCAGACACCGGAGGAAGCACAAAUAUAACAGCCGGAACCCUCCACUCUCCAGGGAGAAGGGCCCGGGGUAAGAGGCAGAGGCAAGGACGGGUCAGGCCAGAUCACAGUGGGUGCUGGCCCCGAGCCCUCUGCCUCCUGCAGGCACAGCCCCUGUCUGAUCCUGGUGGCCUGGGGCCCCAUGGGGUGGGGAGCAGCCUGGUUUGGCUGCGGCCACCCCGCCCCCACGGUCUGGGCCUGGGCUGUGGGAGUCCCUGUGCCUCACUUCCCGGAGCCAGCCUGCCCUGCCGGUCUGUCUGCAGGCAGGUGGAGAGAGUUCCAGGAAGCUGGGGAGGCUGCUGUCACCCGGGCACCGCCCCUGCCCCCACCCGCCUUUGGGAAUGCUCCCUCCUCCGCACAAUCCAGGCUUCUGCAGAAGAUGAAGGGCCUUUUGUCCCCAGCUGGCUGUGGUCAUGUUUGACCCUGGGUAAAAGGGCAACUCCUGAGGCCUCUGACCCCACCCCUGACCCGAGCUGAGGGCAGGACGCCCAGGCCCGCACCCGGCGCCUUUUGUUGCUGUUUUCACGUAUCUCACAAACGUACUCAAGCACACACAGGAGCAGAUGGACGGGGCGGUGAGGGGCAGCAGUGGUGAGGGGCAGCGGCGGUGAGGGGCAGCGGCGGUGAGGGGCAGCGGUGCGGGCCUGAGGCACUGCUCUGGGGUGUGCCUGAGCCCACCCCACAACAGUAAGUGGGGCAGAGCAGGGGUCACCAAGAGAGCAGGGCCCACGCAGCUCCUAGACUCAACCUGCUCACUGGGGUCAAGGACAGGUCUUGGGGGCCUCGGGGGUCACUUUUCACUUCCCAGGAGCCCAGGCCUGCCCCUCUGGCCCCAGAGCUGACCCCCCUCAGUCCCCCGUGCCAGCAGCAGCUGGGGUGGCGGGUAGACACCUGGCGGGUAGCAGCCUGGGUAGGGGUGGGAGCUGCACCAUCUGCGUCUGUCCAUCCAUCCCUCGUCUGUGUGCUGGGCACAGCCGCGCCCCAGCCUCAGUGCUGGGGACACACAGGCGCCGGGCCAGCACUGCCAGGCUAGGAGGGUGGGCGGUGAACAGCUAGGAAAGAUACGGUCUACUUGUUUUCCCUGUGAGAACAGGGGGUCACUGGGGACUCGCACGCAAGGGGUACCCGAGGAAGAGCCUUCCAGGCAGAGAGAAGGAACCGCGAGUGCUGAGAGCAGGGUGGGGUGGGCAGGAGGGGCCUGCGCCAGGACUGCAGGGGCAGAGCAGGCUGGGGGCCUUCGGGAGGGGUGGCCGGGUGGAGGGUGUUGCCGGCCUCGACAGGGGCAGGAGGUUCGUCACAGCGAGGACAGAGCCCGGCCCGGUGGGAGCCGGAGAGCAGCAGGCCUGAAUGACCCAGGGUUUCCUAAUAGCAGGGCCCCUUCCUUGUGUGGGUCCCCUCACUUUGCCUCUCUGCUGGGACAUCCUUCCCUGAAAGGGAGAGGAGGACCACAUGCUGCCCCUUCCCCAGACACAGUCCAGACAGGCCCAGGCCACAGCCCUGGGCAGACGCAAAACUCCCAGGGGCCUGGACUGGGAUAGGGAGGAGGCAGCAGGGAGGGACUGACCUAUGUCCACACACCACAAGGGACUCCCAGAGGCGGGUGGGGCGGAGCUGGGAGCAGGGGCCUUAGCCCUCAGACCAGCCCACUCACCCUGGGGAGUUCCUGCCCCACAGCCUGCCCAGCUUACAGGCCUGGGGGCAGGGGCAGGCCAGCACAGGCCGGAGGGACAGAGGGAGCCACAUCUGAGGGGUCCCCCAGCUGCUCACACCGUCUGAGGCUGUGCUUGCCAACAACUCUGCUCCCAGGAAAUAUUUUGCAAAUCAGGAAAUGACACCGGGCAAGGCCCAGCUGUUGUUUUCACGGCUCCGGGACCAGGCGGAUCCUCAGCCAAGAGCUUCCCAGGAGAGCCCUCAUCUUCAACCCCUAGUGGCGACCAGAGCCAGCCCGGGCAGGAGGGGAAGGAAGGCGGCCGCGGCCCCGGGGAAGCCAUCCUGGCAGCUUGGCCACUGGCCCGGCUCCUGUCUGACCAGGAAAGGCAUCAAAGCCGGACUCGGAUGGAGGCUGGAAAACCCCGAGACUUCUGCUGGACUCGACCCAGCCACACACCAGGCUGUGCUCAAGGCCACGGAAUGAGCCUUGACCCUGGCCCCAGACGGAGCCCAGACCUUGCUGGUCACAGGCUGAGCCCUGCUGGCAAUAUGAUGUACUAGAUCCCUUAAAAGGCCUUCCAGCAACAACCAACUUCUGGAUGAAUUACUAUGAGCGUACAUUUUUAAUAGACUGUUGUGUUUCCAAGAAAGUAAAUAUCUCCGAGUCUCCCCCAAAAUUAAACAGCAAAAAUAAAUAAGGCCAGGUGGGGUGGCUCAUGCCUGUAAUCCCAACACUUUAGGAGGCUGAGGCGAGAGGAUUGCUUGUGCCUAGGAGUUCGAGACCAGCCUGGGCAACAUGAUGAGACCCCGUCUCUACAAAAAAAUUUAAAAUUAGCUGGGUGUGGUGGUGCACUCUAGUCACAGCUACUUGGGAGGCUGAGGCAGGAGGAUCACUUGAGCCUGGGAGGGCGAGGCUGCAGAGAGCUAGGAGCUCACCACUGCACUCAGACUGGGCGGCAGAGCAAGACUCUGUCUCUAAGUAAACAAACAGACAGAGUAGUGUGGAGGCCUGGAUGAUGAAGGGAAGUGGUUGGGAAAGCAGAUAACUCCCUGGACACACACAGGGACAGAGAGCCAGCCUGCGGCCAGGGAACAAGUAUGUUUCUCUGCCUAGGGGCUGCUUAAACCAGGGGUCUCAAGGGUCACUGAGGGGGCCGAGGGUGGUCUCGCCUGGAAAAGGGGAAUAGUCUCUGGAGGGAAGCAUCCCCAAGUUGGACCUCAGAAUUGUCUCCGAUAACAGCUGACAAUUAAACAACCAAACGUUCAGAGAAACACCAUGCUACUGAUGAGAAUCGGCAGAAACACCAGUCACAGAUUUAGACCCCCAAAGACUAGGACACUGGAAUUAUUUAGUACAGAAUAUAAAAUAACUAUAUAUGAAAUAUGUUUAAGAAGUGGAAACUGUAAUCUAAAAAGCAAGCAUGUAUCAAGAGACCAUAAAAAAAAUCAGACAAAUCUAAAACACAAUCAGAUGUAACUUUUAGAUAUGCUAACCUUUUUUUUUUUUUGAGAUGGAGUUUCACUUUGUCACCCAGGCUGGAGUGCAGUGGCACCCUCUCAGCUCACUCCAACCUCUGCCUCCAGUGUUCAAAUGAUUCUUGUGCCUCAGCCUCCUGAGUAGCUGGGACUACAGGUGUGCACCACCAUGGCCAGCUAAUUUUUUUUGUUGUUUUUUUGUUUGUUUUUAAGAUGGAGUCUUGCUCUUGUUGUCCAGGCUGGAGUGCAAUGGCAUGAUUUCGGCUCACUGCAAUCUCUGCCUCCUGGGUUCAAGCGAUCCUCCUGCCUCAGCCUCCCAAGUAGCUGAGGUUAUAGGUGCCCACCACCACGCCCAGCUAAUUUUUUUUUUUUUUUUUUUUGAGACGGAGCCUCGCUCUUUCGCCCAAGCUAGAGUGCAGUGGCGUGAUCUUGGCUCACUGCAAGCUUUGCCUCCCAGGUUCACGCCAUUCUCCUGCCUCAGCCUCCCGAGUAGCUGGUACUACAGGUGCCCGCCACCAAGCCCAGCUAAUUUCUGUAUUUUUUAGUAGAGACGGGGUUUCACCGUGUUAGCCAGGAUGAUCUGGAUCUCCUGAGCUGGUGAUCCGCCCUCCUCGGCUUCCCAAAGUGCUGGGAUUACAGGCGUGAGCCACCGUGCCUGGCCUGGAUAUGUUAACAUAAUAAUUUAAGAUAAAAUGAAUGAGUUAAUCAGCAGAUUAGACGGAAGGGAGUAAUUUGAUGAGGGGGUAAAAGAAAAUGGUGAGGAUAUGGAGAAGGAAUUCGUGGUGAAACUGGACACAAUUGUUGAGGGAUUUCCAGAGCUGAUGAACGUUGUGGACCUGUGGCUUACACCAAACAGGGUGGGUGUGAGCUCGGCACAGCUAGGACGCGCUGGUGAGACCAAGGAACACCAAAGUCAGUGAGGAGAUCUUAGUGUCUCCCGGAGAGAGCCGACCGAGGCUGGCGCAUGUCUGAAUGCGAGCCUGGCCAUAGGCUGAGCCCGGCUGCCGCCACCCCUGGGCUUCUGGAACCCUGGGCUUGGCCGAGCGUGGGUGUCUCCCCUGGGAGCCCCAGAGCCCUGGACGAUGGAGGCCGGGACCUGGGCAGGCGCGGGAGGCCUUGGGCUGGGGCCUGCGCCCCUCCUCUGAGGGCUGCCUGCCGGGCUCUGCCCUGCCCUGCCCUUCCCUCCCCUCUCUUCCCCUCCCCUCUCCUCUCUUUCCCUCACCUCCCCUCUCUUUGCCUCCCC